This 552-nucleotide unclassified non-coding RNA is filed under the name Hevea brasiliensis (rubber tree). Lineage: Eukaryota; Viridiplantae; Streptophyta; Magnoliopsida; Malpighiales; Euphorbiaceae. The record is from RNAcentral.
UUAUCAGCUGAUGAAAAACUAUUCAAUAUCGGCAAGAGCACGAGAUAUGAGAAUAGGUCUGAUUCACUGAGAAUGACAAGGACUGGGUUGCAGAAGGAAGGAUCUAGAGUAAUAUUUGGUGUACCCAAGCCUGGAAAGAAAAGGAAAUUUAUGGAAGUUAGUAAGCAUUAUGUUGCAGAUCGGAGUAGUCAAAUCAAUGAACCAAAUGAUUCAGUCAAGUUAACAAAAUAUUUGAUGCCUCAAGGAGCAGGAUCCCGGGGAUGGAAAAGUUCUAAGACUGAAUCAAAUGAAAGGCGAGCAGCCAUUCCCAAGCCCAGGGUUCUUAAGUCUGCAAAACCACAGAACGUUUCUGUUAGAACAAUUCCUCAGAAGGACAACCUAUCAAGCACUGCAGUUUCUGCUCCUGAUGAUGGUGCUGUUGCAGAUAAUACUAUGAAGGCCAAGGAUUCGGUAAACCAUGGUGUAAACACUUUGGAAAAGCAGAACCUAAUGGGCUUUCAAUCAUUUUCUAGUUCUGAUGGACCAACAGAGGGCCCAAUCUUAUUUUCUGCA